RNAcentral lists this ribosomal RNA (255 nucleotides) under uncultured bacterium. RNAcentral describes it as "partial 16S ribosomal RNA". It matches the Rfam family "Bacterial small subunit ribosomal RNA", at positions 793 to 1055 of the family's 1533-position model. The record is from RNAcentral.
GUCCACGCCGUAAACGAUGGAUACUAGCUGUUCGGAGCAAUCUGAGUGGCUAAGCGAAAGUGAUAAGUAUCCCACCUGGGGAGUACGCACGCAAGUGUGAAACUCAAAGGAAUUGACGGGGGCCCCGCACAAGCGGUGGAGCAUGUGGUUUAAUUCGAUGAUACGCGAGGAACCUUACCAGGGCUUAAAUGUAGAUUGACAGGUCUAGAAACAGACUUUUCUCGGACAAUUUACAAGGUGCUGCAUGGUUGUCGU